RNAcentral lists this ribosomal RNA (120 nucleotides) under uncultured bacterium. Its description in RNAcentral is "partial 16S ribosomal RNA". It matches the Rfam family "Bacterial small subunit ribosomal RNA", at positions 215 to 334 of the family's 1533-position model. The record is from RNAcentral.
UUGCUCAUAAAAAGACUUAUAUCUGAUUAGCUAGUUGGUGAGAUAAAAGCCCACCAAGGCGAUGAUCAGUAGCUGGUCUGAGAGGAUGAACAGCCACACUGGAAUUGAAAAACGGUUCAG